UUGAAGAGAGAGUUAAAAGGGCGUGAAACCGCUUGGAAGUAAACGGAUGGAACUGCAAUGCAGUCUACAGAAUUCAGUUUGUCGUACGUCCAUCGGCUGGUAAACGAUCGCAAGACGUGAGCCGGUCGUUUGGACGUUUCGACGAAUGUAUUUUCUGUAGACGAGCGUCACGACCGAUUGACCCGCUAACAGAAAGAUAGUUGAAAGUGGACUGUUACUUCGGUAUACAGUGACCCGUCAAUUAUUCUGUUUGAGUCGGGACGAUCGAGAAUAGACCGUGUCGGGAUUCGCAGGUGUUUUCGACAUAUGGGCUGAAUAUAACUUGUGAGACAUGCUUGCAUGGCUGACAGACCCUCGGCUCAGACUGUUAUUACACUCUGCAUUGACACAUAUGGUCUGUGGCGUCAGUGUCAGUCACCCAUCCGACCCGUCUUGAAACACGGACCAAGGAGUCUAACAUGUGCGCAAGUCAUUGGGUUAUAAACCCAAAGGCGCAAUGAAAGUGAAUAUAGUGGGAUUUUGAGUCUACGGACUUGAACGCACCACUGUCCCGUCUGAUCUGCAUGUCAGAUAGGCGGAGAAAGAGCGUACACGUUGGGACCCGAAAGAUGGUGAACUAUGCCUGAGCAGGAUGAAGCCAGAGGAAACUCUGGUGGAAGUCCGUAGCGGUUCUGACGUGCAAAUCGAUCGUCAGA
RNAcentral lists this ribosomal RNA (695 nucleotides) under Alaimus sp. LSU_19. RNAcentral's name for it is "LSU rRNA". It matches the Rfam family "Eukaryotic large subunit ribosomal RNA", at positions 376 to 909 of the family's 3401-position model. The record is from RNAcentral. Lineage: Eukaryota; Metazoa; Nematoda; Enoplea; Enoplida; Alaimidae.